This 429-nucleotide ribosomal RNA is filed under the name Gemmatimonadota bacterium. RNAcentral describes it as "Gemmatimonadetes bacterium partial 16S ribosomal RNA". It matches the Rfam family "Bacterial small subunit ribosomal RNA", at positions 355 to 776 of the family's 1533-position model. Lineage: Bacteria; Pseudomonadati; Gemmatimonadota. The record is from RNAcentral.
UAGGGAAUCUUCGGCAAUGGACGAAAGUCUGACCGAGCAACGCCGCGUGAGUGAAGAAGGUUUUCGGAUCGUAAAACUCUGUUGUUAGAGAAGAACAAGGACGUUAGUAACUGAACGUCCCCUGACGGUAUCUAACCAGAAAGCAACGGCUAACUACGUGCCAGCAGCCGCGGUAAUACGUAGGUGGCAAGCGUUGUCCGGAUUUAUUGGGCGUAAAGCGAGCGCAGGCGGUUUCUUAAGUCUGAUGUGAAAGCCCCCGGCUCAACCGGGGAGGGUCAUUUGAAACUGGGAGACUUGAGUGCAGAAGAGGAGAGUGGAAUUCCAUGUGUAGCGGUGAAAUGCGUAGAUAUAUGGAGGAACACCAGUGGCGAAGGCGGCUCUCUGGUCUGUAACUGACGCUGAGGCUCGAAAGCGUGGGGAGCAAACAGG